This 218-nucleotide long non-coding RNA is filed under the name Manihot esculenta (cassava). RNAcentral describes it as "long non-coding RNA (MESC_LNC012467)". Lineage: Eukaryota; Viridiplantae; Streptophyta; Magnoliopsida; Malpighiales; Euphorbiaceae. The record is from RNAcentral.
GGGACCCUAGAAGGUCCAGUGAUGCGAGUAGAAGGGGAGUUGUGCAGAGUGGUAUGUCAGGGUUUAGGCGAGUCGUAGAGGAGGAUGUGCAGAGCAGAGAUGGUAGCUUUGGCAGGAGCAGGUUAGGAGGAGAUAUGGGUGAGUCUCAAGGAGGCACUCAGGCCUCGAGAUUUGUUCUCCCUCAGUCUCCGCCCUACCAGUGGGGGGCAGAGUACCCG